GGAAAAGAUGGCCAGAAUGUACACGGACCGGAUUCUGUUAUAUCAAUGAUUGAUCACACCUUCCACACGUUUGGUACUGGAGAGACGGAAUGUGGUAUUCAUGCUGAUAAUUGUUUCGGUCAGAACAAGAACAGAUACGUGCUGGCGUACUUAUCAUGGCGCACGAUGACUGGGCGGCACAGAACAAUCAGAUAUAUGAUGCAGUUACCAGGACACAAAAGGUGCCUGAUCGACGCCGGGUUUGGGACUAUUAGACAUUUACGGAUUAAGUCUACGUGGACUGUGGACACCUAAGGCGAUAGAUUUUUCAAGGGGACCGUCUCAACAUAGUUUAAUUAUAUUAUGCGCGAUAUGAAAAAGAGUUUAUAACGGCAAUAGGGUUUGAGUUAUUAUAUCAUCACUAUGCGGUAGGUGAUAUAAAUUUGGAUGUGCCUGUUUUUAGCUCGACCUUUCGAAGAAAAAGUAGAGCUAUUGCACUCGCUCCGGCGUCGGCGUCGGCGUCUCCGUUGGGUUAAAACUUUUGAUAAAGUCAAAUAUCUCUGUUACUGUCAAAGCUAUUGACUUGAAACUUAAAAAGUCUACACAAGGAAGAACAAUCCCCGUAACUCUGAUUGAAUUUUUACAGAAUUAUGCCCCUUUUUAAUUUAUCAUUUUUUGUUAUAGUUUUUGAUAAAGUCAAAUAUCUCUGUUACUAUCAAAGCUAUUGACUUGAAUCUUAAAAUACUAAUUUACUAUUUAAGUCUUCACGCGUAGAAACAAUCCCCAUAACUCUGAUUGAAUUUUGUUAGUAUUAUGUCCUUUUUUAACAGAAUUUUUGGUUAAAGUUUCUGAUAAAGGCAAAUAUCUCUGUUACUAUCGAAGCUAUUGACUUGAAACUUGAAAUAGUUAUUUACCAUCAAAGGCUUCACCAGGAGAAACUAUCCACAUAACUCUGAUUUAAUUUUGAUAGAAUUAUGCCCCUUUUUAACUUAGAAUUUUUGGUUAAAGUUUUUGAUAAAGUCAAAUAUCUCUGUUACUAUCAAAGCUAUAUUGACUUGAAACUUAAAAUAGUUAUUAACUAUCAAAACCUACACCAAGAAAAGCAAACCCCAUAACUCUGAUUUGGAUUUUGGCAGAAUUAUGCCCUUUUUUAACUUAGAUUAUUUUGUUAAACGUUUUGAUAAUUUCAAAUAUCUCUGUUACUAUUAAAGCUUUUGACUUGAAACUUAAAAUAGUUAUUUACUAUCGAAGUCUACACAAGGAAAAUCAAUCCCCAUAACACUGAUUUGACAAGAAAUUAUAACUCUGAUGUUGCUCAGUUUAAGCUCUAUAUGGAGGCACUCACGACAACGACUUUCAAGAACCGUACAUGUCUGUGCAUCCCUUGUGUGUAGAAGAAAACAUAUCGGAUUGAUUGUAUAAACUGAAAACUGUCAACAAGAAAUGAAUUUCAUUUCAUUCAUGUUUAUGCCAUAAUACAGUAUAGGUGGGAAGAUUUGUUUAUUUUGAUUAUUUUCCUAUCUUCCGUUCAUUUAUCUAGUAAAAAGGCUGUCCAUCUCUUUGUCCAUCCACUACUGACAAAUUAAAACAAUAAAGUUAUACGAAUACAAAUUCUUUAACGCGGCUAAUACAGAAAUAACAAGUGCUCCGCCAAGCGAGGCAAUAUACGCUCGAAGGAUUAUAUCAGGGGAUGGGAGCAAAAUUUAAAGAACUUUA
Molecule: long non-coding RNA, 1695 nt
Organism: Mercenaria mercenaria
Lineage: Eukaryota; Metazoa; Mollusca; Bivalvia; Venerida; Veneridae
Exons: 3
Source: RefSeq, a predicted model, not a curated record